This 203-nucleotide long non-coding RNA is filed under the name Elaeis guineensis (African oil palm). Its description in RNAcentral is "long non-coding RNA (EGUI_LNC020855)". The record is from RNAcentral. Lineage: Eukaryota; Viridiplantae; Streptophyta; Magnoliopsida; Arecales; Arecaceae.
AUCUUAAUACUCUCAAAGCUACUGUCUCCAUGUACCACCUAUUGGUAUGAUUUCUGACUAACGAAGGAACUGGAGAAAUAUAUGGAGAUUAGAUAGUAGCUCGGCAAUGUUUCAUGAUCACCUCUAGGAUGAAACAACCCUCGAAAAGUGUGCCAGUUGAUGUGCCAGAUCUAAUGGAUGAGGUUAGAAAAUUGAGGUGAGCC